Unclassified non-coding RNA from Macaca fascicularis (crab-eating macaque), 117 nucleotides. It matches the Rfam family "Metazoan signal recognition particle RNA". From Rfam's summary of the family: The signal recognition particle (SRP) is a universally conserved ribonucleoprotein. It is involved in the co-translational targeting of proteins to membranes. The eukaryotic SRP consists of a 300-nucleotide 7S RNA and six proteins: SRPs 72, 68, 54, 19, 14, and 9. The record is from Ensembl. Lineage: Eukaryota; Metazoa; Chordata; Mammalia; Primates; Cercopithecidae.
GCUGGGCAUGGUGGCUCAUGCCUGUAAUCCCAGCACUUUGGGAGGCUGAGGCGGGUGGAUCACCUGAGGUCAGGAGUUCGAGACCAGCCUGACCAACAUGGUGAAACCCUGUCUCUA